UGGGGAAUAUUGCACAAUGGGGGAAACCCUGAUGCAGCAACGCCGCGUGAGUGAAGAAGUAUUUCGGUAUGUAAAGCUCUAUCAGCAGGGAAGAAAGUGACGGUACCUGACUAAGAAGCCCCGGCUAACUACGUGCCAGCAGCCGCGGUAAUACGUAGGGGGCAAGCGUUAUCCGGAUUUACUGGGUGUAAAGGGAGCGUAGGCGGUUUUGCAAGUCAGAAGUGAAAGCCCGGGGCUUAACCCCGGGACUGCUUUUGAAACUGUAAGACUGGAUUGCAGGAGAGGUAAGUGGAAUUCCUGGUGUAGCGGUGAAAUGCGUAGAUAUCAGGAGGAACACCGGUGGCGAAGGCGGCUUACUGGACUGUAAAUGACGCUGAGGCUCGAAAGCGUGGGGAGCAAACAGGAUUAGAUACCCUGGUAGU
Molecule: ribosomal RNA, 422 nt
Filed under: uncultured Lachnospiraceae bacterium
Lineage: Bacteria; Bacillati; Bacillota; Clostridia; Lachnospirales; Lachnospiraceae
Description: bacterial SSU rRNA
Rfam family: Bacterial small subunit ribosomal RNA
Source: RNAcentral